UACGGAGGGAGCUAGCGUUGUUCGGAAUUACUGGGCGUAAAGCGCACGUAGGCGGCUUUGUAAGUUAGAGGUGAAAGCCUGGGGCUCAACUCCAGAACUGCCUUUAAAACUGCAUCGCUUGAAUCCAGGAGAGGUGAGUGGAAUUCCGAGUGUAGAGGUGAAAUUCGUAGAUAUCAAGAGGAACACCGGUGGCGAAGGCGGCCUUCUGGACAGUGACUGACGCUGAGACGCGAAAGCGUGGGGAGCAAACAGG
RNAcentral lists this ribosomal RNA (253 nucleotides) under uncultured bacterium. RNAcentral describes it as "partial 16S ribosomal RNA". It matches the Rfam family "Bacterial small subunit ribosomal RNA", at positions 524 to 776 of the family's 1533-position model. The record is from RNAcentral.